AGAACGAACGCUGGCGGCAGGCCUCAAACAUGCAAGUCUAGGGGGUGUAGCAAUACAUCACCGGCGGACGGGUGCGUAACACGUGGGAAUAUACCUUUUGGUUCGGAACAACUGCGGGAAACUGCAGCUAAUACCGAAUGUGCCCUAACGGGGAAAGAUUUAUCGCCAAAGGAUUAGCCCGCGUAGGAUUAGCUAGUUGGUGAGGUAAUGGCUCACCAAGGCUCCGAUCCUUAGCUGUUCUGAGAGGAAGAUCAGCCACACUGGGACUGAGACACGGCCCAGACUCCUACGGGAGGCAGCAGUUGGGAAUCUUGGACAAUGGGGGAAACCCUGAUCCAGCCAUGCCGCGUGAGUGAUGAAGGCCUUCGGGUUGUAAAACUCUUUCGACGGGACGAUAAUGACGGUACCCGUAGAAGAAGCUCCGGCUAACUUCGCGCCAGCAGCCGC
RNAcentral lists this ribosomal RNA (447 nucleotides) under uncultured bacterium. RNAcentral's name for it is "SSU rRNA". It matches the Rfam family "Bacterial small subunit ribosomal RNA", at positions 26 to 518 of the family's 1533-position model. The record is from RNAcentral.